GACGGAAGGUGCAAGCGUUGCUCGGAAUCACUGGGCGUAAAGGGUGCGUAGGCGGCUUGGUAGGUCUGGUGUGAAAGCCCCGGGCUCAGCCCGGGAAGGGCACUAGAAACUGCCAAGCUAGAGUGCCGGAGGGGAGAGUGGAAUUCCUGGUGUAGCGGUGAAAUUCGUAGAUAUCGAGAGGAACACCGGUGGCGAAGGCGGCGAUCUGGACGAUGACUGACGCUGAGACGCGAAAGCGUGGGGAGCAAACAGG
This 253-nucleotide ribosomal RNA is filed under the name uncultured bacterium. RNAcentral's name for it is "partial 16S ribosomal RNA". It matches the Rfam family "Bacterial small subunit ribosomal RNA", at positions 524 to 776 of the family's 1533-position model. The record is from RNAcentral.